GCUGAUCCUGCCGGAGAUCACCGCUAUUCGGAUUUGGCUAAGCCAUGCAAGUUCUGGGUUAAACCAGAGCGAAAAGCUCAGUAACACGUAGUUAAUCUGCCCUUAGAUCUGAUAUAAUCUCGGGAAACUGAGGAUAACGUCAGAUAGGCAAAAAUUCCUGGAAUGGUCUUUUGUUGAACUAAGGAUGGGACUGCGGCUCAUUAGGUUGUUGUUAGGGUAAUGUCCUGGCAAGCCGAUAAUGGGUACGGGCCUUGAGAGAGGAAACCCGGAGAUGGAUUCUGAGACAAUAAUCCAGGUCCUACGGGAUGCAGCAGGCGCGAAACCUCCACAAUGCACGCAAGUGUGAUGGAGAGAUCCGAAGUGUUUUCCCUUACGGGGAAACUUUUGUUUAGUCUAAAUAGCUAGGCGAAUAAGCGAUGGGUAAGACAGGUGCCAGCCGCCGCGGUAAUACCUGCGUCGCAAGUGGUGAUCACGUUUAUUGGGCUUAAAGCAUUCGUAGCCGGUUUUGUAAGUCCUUGGUGAAAUCGUCUAGUAGACUAGGCGGCUUGCUGGGGAUACUGCAAGGCUCGGGACCGGGAGGUCGAGGGUAUUCCAGGGGUAAGGGUAAAAUCUUAUAAUCCUUGGAGGACCACCUGUGGCGAAGGCGCUCGACUGGAACGGAUCCAACGGUGAGGGAUGAAAGCUAGGGGAGCGAACCGGAUUAGAUACCCGGGUAGUCCUAGCCGUAAACGAUACCCACUAGACAUUGGAGAUCUUACGUGGGUUUCCAGUGUCGUAGGGAAACCAUUAAGGGGGUCGCCUGGGGAGUACGGUCGCAAGGCUGAAACUUAAGGGAAUUGGCGGGGGAGCACACAAGGGGUGGAGGCUGCGGUUCAAUUCGAUUCAACGCGGGGAACCUUACCAGAGGCGACAGCAGGAUGAAGGUCAGGUUGAAGGUUUUACCAGACAAGCUGAGAAGUAGUGCAUGGCCGUCGUCAGUUCGUGCCGUGAGGUGUCCUGUUAAGUCAGGUAACGAACAAGACCCAUACCUCAUGUUGCUAACCAAUUUAUUUGGUGCACUCAUGAGGGACUGCUGGCGAUAAGCCAGAGGAAGGCGUGGUCGACGGCAGGUCCGUAUGCCCUGAAUCCUCUGGGCAACACGCGGCCUACAAUGGACGAGACAAUGGGACGCGACUCCGAGAGGAGGAGCCAAUCCUUAAACUCGUUCCCAGUUCGGAUCGAGGGUUGCAACUCACCCUCGUGAAGCCGAAAUCCCUAGUAGUCGCUGGUUAGCAUCUAGCGGCGAAUACGUUCCUGCUUCUUGCACACACUGCCCGUCAAGCCAUCCGAGUGAAGUUUUGAUGAGGUUUCCUCUUCGGAGGAUGUCGAAUCAGGGCUUCGCAAGGAGGGCUAAGUCGUAACAAGGUA
Molecule: ribosomal RNA, 1407 nt
Filed under: metagenome
Description: bacterial SSU rRNA
Rfam family: Archaeal small subunit ribosomal RNA
Source: RNAcentral